Molecule: ribosomal RNA, 274 nt
Filed under: uncultured bacterium
Lineage: Bacteria
Description: partial 16S ribosomal RNA
Rfam family: Bacterial small subunit ribosomal RNA
Source: RNAcentral
AUACGGAGGGUGCAAGCGUUACUCGGAAUCACUGGGCGUAAAGCGCGCGCAGGCGGCCAUUUAAGUUGGAUGUGAAAGCCUACGGCUCAACCGUAGAACUGCAUCCAAAACUAUUUGGCUAGAGUGUGGGAGAGGAAGAUGGAAUUAGUUGUGUAGGGGUAAAAUCCGUAGAGAUAACUAGGAAUACCAAAAGCGAAGGCAAUCUUCUGGAACAUUACUGACGCUGAGGCGCGAAAGCGUGGGGAGCGAACAGGAUUAGAAACCCUAGUAGUCC